RNAcentral lists this long non-coding RNA (5385 nucleotides) under Homo sapiens (human). Its description in RNAcentral is "HSALNT0072180". The record is from RNAcentral. Lineage: Eukaryota; Metazoa; Chordata; Mammalia; Primates; Hominidae.
GCUGUCUGUCUGUUCUCAACCCCAGUCUCUAGGACUCUGAACGCUGACUGCCAAAUUUUACUACCUUUCUUGCCUGAAAAAUACUAGUGUCCAGAAGCUGGUUUCUCCAUUCCUGACAGAAGGCAAACUAAUUAGAAGUCUGGUGGAGCAAGUUUUAUGGGGAAAAUGCUUUUUUAGUUUAGCCAAGGAACUGAACCCAUCUUGAAUAAGAAGUAAAAAGUAAGAGUGUUUCCUGGGUUAGCAAAUACAUGAACUAGAAAAUCAACAUUACACCUCCCACAUGCACUGAUGGUAAUGUGGAUGCUCCCAGAAGAAUUAAAAUGUGACCCUUUGCUCUGCGGAUAUACUGCAGACCCUCCAGUAUAAUGACUGAGUAAAAUAAUGACAGUGGAUAUCUUCUGUUCCUGAUCUUGAAGGGAAUGCAUUCAGUUGUUCACCAAUGGAGUCUCCCUCUGUCACCAGGCUGGAGUGCAGUGCAAUCUUCGUCUCCUGGGUUCAAGUGACUCUCCUGCCUCGGCCUCCCUAGUAGCAGGGACUACAGGCACAUGCCACCACACCCAGCUAAUUUUUGUAUUUUUAGUGGAGAUGGGGCUUCACCAUGUUGGCCAGGCUGGUCUCGAACUCCUGACCUCAAUUGAUCCGCCCAUCUCUGCCUCCCAAAGUGCUGAGAUUAUAGGUGUAGGCCACCGUGCCUGGACACCUUUUUUUUAUACUAAUAGAACCCUCAAUUUUUAGGUGGGCAUCUGAAUGCCAACAACAAAAACUGCUUUUCCCAACCUCUCUUGAAGUUAAGUGUGGCCAUAUGAUCAUGACUUCCCCAGUGGACCGUAAGUGGAAGUGGUGUGCUCAAUUUUUGGGAAAAGCUGUUUAUGGAAAGGAGUGUACCCUGUUUCCCACCUCUUCCCUUUUCCUCCUGUAAACAUAUUUGGAGCUUAGCAGCUAUUUUGUCCUCAAGGUGGACAGAGGAACAAGAUGAAGGAGAUGGGUUUUCUGGUACCAUGAGGGCCUUCUAGGGCCGUACCCCUGACCUCUGGGCCAUGCUUACUCAAGAGAGAAACAGUCUUUGAUUUUACUUUUGCCACUGUUAUUUUGACUGUUCUAUUACUCUGAACUCAACUUAAUCCUGACUGAUAUAAACUUUAUAAUUGUUUUUGACAAAAGCAAAUCCUAUUGUGGUUCCUAUGGGACUUAUAUUACAUUUAUGUGUUAAUUUAGGGAGAAUUGACUUCCUAAUAAUUCUUUCUAUCCAAGAACCUGUUCUGUGCUUUCAUUUACUCAUGUCUUUUAAAAUAAUAUUAUAAGCAUUAAAAAAACAAAACAUAAAACUUUGUUGUUUUCUUUGUUUUCCAUAUUGUGCAUAUCAAGCAUAUACUACUCUAUAAAAUUCUAAAAUUAAUAUAAAACCAAAUAAAGCACUACAGGGCAAUGCAUAAAUGUAAGCCCAAGGUGAGCCUAAAUAAAGGAAAAUAAUCCUUCUCUAAGUUGAACUUUUUUGUCUAUUUGAAAAUUUUAUGACAUUUCUCCUUCCAUAUUUGAUUUACAGAAAGCAAGUUGACUGUUGAACACUCCAAUGUUCAUUAAAGCAGCCUUUUGAAGCAUAAUUGCUUACCAGAAAUACUUAGAAAAUCAUUUGUACUUCAUGUUUCUAUUUGGGUGCUUUAUUUCUUAAUAGAAUCUCAUCCUUGUUAUCUAAGAGUGGUGUAUAAAUUGGGGGAGCAUAUAGGCAGUAGAUGAAAUGCAAAAGCUUUCAUGAAAUAUCAGGCUUCACAGCUGAGAACACAGCUUGGUAUUUGUAACCAGAGGAGCUAGAUUUGACACUGGGAGUAAGUUGUAGAAAGGAGUAGAUGUAAGACCGUGUACAGGUCACUUACCAUCUUACCAUCUUGAAACUCCAGUUUCCCCAUGUAUAACUUGGGAAUGAUAAAAAUACUUGCUCAAAUUUUUCUUUACAAUGUUGUAAAGGUUGUUAAAGAUGAUGGGUGCAAAAAUGCUUUAUACAUUUUAAAAUCUGUUUAAGAAUGAGUGAUAUGGGUUGGCUAUUUGUUACCUCCAAAUCUUAUGUUGAAAUGUGAUUCCCAAUGUUGGAGGUGGGGACUAGUGGGAGGUGUUUGGGUCGUGGUGGCAGAUCCCUAAUGAAUGGCUUGGUGGCCUCACUUUGAUAAUGAGCCCAUACAAGACCUGGUUUUUUGAAGGAGCGUGGUGCCUCCCCCUCUCUCUUGCCCCCUCUCUCAUCAUGUGACAUGCCUGCUUCUGCUUUGCCUUCCGCUAUGAGUAAAAGCUCCCUGAGGCCUCACUAGAAGCCAAGCAGAUACUGGCACCAAGCUUCCUGUUCAGCCUGCAGAACUAUAAGCCAAUUAAACCUCUUUUCUUUAUAAAUUGCCCAGCCUCAGGUGUUUCUUCACAGCAAUGCAAGAAUGGACUAACACAGAAAACUGGUACUGAGGAGUGAGGUGUGAGAUGUUGCUAUAAAGAUACUUGAAGAUGUGGAAGUGACUGUAGAACUGAGUAAUGGGCAGAGGUUAGAAGACUUUGGAGGGCUCAGAAGAAGACAGGAAGAUAAGGAAAGUUUGGAACUUCUUAAGAGACUGGUUAAAUGAUUUUGACCAAAAUGCUAAUAGAAAUAUGGAUAGUGAAUACCAGGCUGACAAAGUCUCAGAUGGAAAUGAGGAGCUUCUUGUGAACUGGAGUAAAAGUCACCCAUGUUAUGCCCUAGCAAAGAAGGAUCGCUUUUUUGUUGCAAGUAACAGAAACCUCAAAAGAUGUUGGCAUAAACAUGAGGGAAUAAAUUAGGUCAUAAACAGUGUGUACAGAGGUUAGACAGGAUUCAGGCUUGGUUGAUUCAGGAUCCAGGUUCUUUGCACCUCCCUUCAAUGCUGGUUUCUUUCUCAGGUAGGUAGCAAGAUGGCUGCAGCAGAUCCAGCACUCACCUCCAGACAGGGCAAUGUUCAGGAGAAAGAGAAAAUGCGUUGUUAACACUCUGCUUUAGGAACAAGACACUUUGCCCAAAACCCCUCAUCUGUCCUGAAGAACUCUAACCACACCUUACUGGGCAGACCUAAAUUGCAUAUGCAUUCCCGAAAUCACUGUGAAUGUCGAUGAGAUAUGUCAACCUGGCCCAUCUUCAGAACUGGAGAUGCCUCAUUCCCCCAAGGCAAUGGUGGUUUUUGAGAGAAGUGGAUACCUGGACAAACCCGGAGUUUGUUGAGUGUAUCAGAGGCGAUUAGUGACCUGCCCUUAUUGUCUUGUUGUGCACUGUUUCUGGUGCACACUGGUAACUUCCUACUGCAAGUAUCUGUGACUCUCUUUCUGAGGAAUUUCUCUGGCUAUGGGAGCUUGCAUGGUCUGCUUGGAGUAGGCUGAAAAGUGCUGAGGAAUUAAUGUUCCUGGAAGGAGCCCUCAGUUGGUGAUAGAUGAGAACUGAAGGACAGUACCGCAGCUUCCUUGUCCCUUGGUGGAAAAACUCUAAGUUAUGUUCUACUCCAUUUCACACAGGUUCCCAGUGGUAUGGAGUUCCAGUUGCCCACAGAGAUGAUUUGCUCAUUAAUAUAGUCUGUGUUGGCUUCUUUUCUUUCCUGGAUCACUUCCUCACACGCUUACCAGUAUUUCCUGGUAUCACCUCUCAACCAAACAACUUGUACCCAAGUCCUUGCUGGAGGGUCUGCUACUGAGGGAGCUCAACCAAAGUUGGUAGGAGGAAGAAGGGGGAAAGAGUUCUGUGUAGGAAAUGAACAGUGUCCUCUACUGGCACAUGUCCUCUACUGGCACAUUCAGGAGCCACUUGUAAAACUUCCCAGGGUUUGUAUUUAUCGGUCUGCCAACUACAGCCUCCCAAAAUGAAUCCAAAACUAAGAUUGAGCCUCAACAUUCCCAAACAUAUUUAUAAACCUGAAAACUUUCUGAUGAAAUGCAAAAUUGUAGGCUUUCUGCAAACUUGAUGCAUGUAAUUAGUAGACAUAAAGUCUUCUGAAUAAACUUAUGAGGCUUUAUUUAGCUAGAAUGUGUCAGAUUGAACAUUUUAAAAUACAUGUUUUCUUUCCAGUAUACCUGUCUUUCCCCGCAGAUGUUGAUUUCUUGAGGAUUUUGGUUAUUUGAAAUUUGGAUUGUUUUCCUAAAUCUGCUUUGUAGAGAUGUGGGAGAUUAUUUAGUGUGGAAUAAUAUAUUUUUUGAAAAUUUAUUUAUUCGCAUAAAGUCUUUAGCUCAUUAGUUUAUAAUAUUCUUGGAGUUAUUAUUUUAAAACUUGUGGUUCAAAGGGGAUAUAACAACUAGAUGGAUAGGAAAAAUUGAAAGCUUGAUUUUUCCUCAGCUAAAAUUGGAAACCAGAACUUUAUCACUCCUAUUUUUACAGAUGCCAUGUGGCGGGAACCUUGGCCAACUGGGAUGUGGGUGGCUGAGUCUUUCUUCAGCUUCUUACUGGAAACUGUGGCGUUUUCUUGACAGCAGUAAUAAAUCAGACAUCCACAGGAAGCAAAGAGAUCAUUGAAAUGAAACAUAAGCUGUAAAAUGUUCUGCCUCAUAUUAUGACAGCCCUUUCCUUGGUGGGCUCUCUCUUUGGACCCAUUAGAGAAACAGAUCUCCAAUUUACAGGAGGAUGCAUAAAUUGGAGAUGUAAAAAUUACUAGAUUUUAUGGAAAUAUUGAUUUGUUCACAGUGCACACAGGUCUAAGUUAACUUAAAGAGCACAUCCCAUAAACUCUAUUAAGCCUAACUUGUCUUAGGCUAUUACAAAUCUGUGUAUUGUUGGACUUUCUGAAUUUAUAUUUUUGACUUUCUUUAAUGUGAGCAUCCUUCAACAGGUAUCAUAAACAUUCAAAAGGGAUUUACUGUAGUCAUAGGAACAAAAUGACUAUUCUGAGAAUUUCAUUCUGGCAAACUGAAUGAUGUACUGCUAGUUAUAUAUGUCUAUUGAACCAUGACUCUUUCCAUAGGAAAACUCUGAGAUUACUAUCAUCAGAGUCACCAUAUCCAUAACCAACUGAAUGCUUCUGAUGUAUUUUAAUCUGGUUUUGUUGAUAGUGAUAAAACACUGGCUUGGCUCUAUUUGGACUGAGUAAUUUAAAAAUAUUUUACAUUGAUGAAAUCAUAUUUUAAUAAUAAAGUUAAUUAAAUAUAUUGACUUUUUCCCAAGUUUAGAGGCAGCAACUAUUUCACAAAGAGGAAAAAAUGUUGUCAAUACUUACAUAAGAUUAUUUAAUUUCAGUUGAUUCUUGUACGAAGAACUAUAGAAAUAGUUGAUCUUUCUUCUUUUUUCGAAUUAAAAUGAGCAGCCUCUGAUUUUCCCUCCAUUCCUCUCAGGGCCAUCUCAACCAGCUUGUUGAAACCAGAAUGCACUUGAGGAGGCCAAAUAUAUUUCAGAAGGCUUAUUUCCUCAAUAAAAAAGUUUUCUCC